Molecule: ribosomal RNA, 120 nt
Filed under: Helianthus annuus (common sunflower)
Lineage: Eukaryota; Viridiplantae; Streptophyta; Magnoliopsida; Asterales; Asteraceae
Source: RNAcentral
GGUUGGGAUCAUACCAGCACUAAUGCACCGGAUCCCAUCAGAACUCCGCAGUCAAGCGUGCUUGGGCGAGAGUAGUACUAGGAUGGGUGACCCCCCUGGGAAGUCCUCGUGUUGCAACCC